Molecule: long non-coding RNA, 1338 nt
Filed under: Marmota monax (woodchuck)
Lineage: Eukaryota; Metazoa; Chordata; Mammalia; Rodentia; Sciuridae
Source: RNAcentral
GGAAAAGAUGGUGGAAUGGGAUGGACAUCAUUACCCUAGGUACAUGUAUGUAUGUAUGACUGCACAUAUGGCGCAACACUACAUCAUGUACAACCAGAGAAAUGAAAAGUCAUGCUUCAAUUGUAUACAACAAAUCAAAAUGCAUUCUGCUGUCAUAAAUAUCUAAUUAAAAUAAAUAAAUGAAUUAAAAAUCUUAAAAUAAAAGACAAAACUUGGAGGUUGAGGACUUGAGAGUCUACUGGGUUGGGGGAGGACAAUGCAUUCCCCUCUGACCUUGGUAGAAUGCAGUGACUUGAGCUAGUUGUCUCCUUCCCAGGUCAUUCAGUUUCCUCAUCUGAAAAAUAAGCUUCCAUCCAGAAAUUGUUUUGGCCAGCUUUCUGUUGCUGUCACCAAAACACCUGAACAAUUAGGGAAAAGUUCAUUUUGGUUCACAGUUUCAGAGGUUUAGCUCCUGGUUGUCUGACUCUGUAGCUCUGGGCCUGAGGCAGAAUAUUAUGGGGGGCGGGGCUUGGCAGAGGAAAGCAGCUCAGGAUAUGGCCACCAGGAAAGAGGGGUGGAGCACCAGUGCUCUGCUCACUAGGGAUAAAAUAUAAUCCUUAAAGUCUUGCCCCCAGUGACCUACCUUCUCCAGCCACACUCUAUCUGCUUACAGUUACCACCCAGUUAAUCCAUAUCAGUGGAUUAAUCCAUCGAUCAGGUUACAACUCUCAAUCUAUUCAUUUCACCUAUAAACUUUCUGCCAUUGUCUCAUGCAUGAUCUUUUUUGGGGGGAACCACAUAUCCAAACCAUAACAAUUCCUUUGUAAGCCCUUCUCAAAAUUUUGCUUCUUAAUUACUAAUUCCAAUCCUACCUUUCAGUUAAAAAAAUGAACUUAAUUAUUUUCAGUUCAGCUGGGCACUAAUGGAAACUCGACACACUUCUAAUCACUGAAGCCCUAUUCACACCUGCAUCACAGAAUUCCCCUCCUUUGGUCUUUCUGGAUGAGUAAAGCCUUAUUUUUGGCAAUGCUGGUUUGGGAGUUGCAUCUCUAUAGAAACCACUGCCUAGGUGAACCCUUCCCUGUGACUGAGAAUCCUCUCCACAUUAGCAUGUCAUCUUAAUUGAUAGAACAGGUAUAUCUUUCUAGAUCUCUGAGUUGUUUUGUCAGUUUCCGAGUCAAAUCCUAAAUUAGAUGCAACACCUAAAAAAGCGUGCACACUGAGAGAAGCAUCAGGGUUGUCAUGACAACUGGGAAAUGCCAUGUCUCCCCCAAUAUUAAUUUAACUGUCAUCGUGGGGUUUUACAAACCAAUAAUCAUUAUAUUUUUCAACUUUGAGUAGAAAUGAAGUAACAUUUGG